This 253-nucleotide ribosomal RNA is filed under the name uncultured bacterium. Its description in RNAcentral is "partial 16S ribosomal RNA". It matches the Rfam family "Bacterial small subunit ribosomal RNA", at positions 524 to 776 of the family's 1533-position model. The record is from RNAcentral.
CACGUAGGGCGCAAGCGUUGUCCGGAAUUAUUGGGCGUAAAGAGCUCGUAGGCGGUCUGUUACGUCCGCUGUGAAAACUCGGGGCUUAACCCCGAGCCUGCAGUGGAUACGGGCAGACUAGAGGUAGGUAGGGGAGAAUGGAAUUCCCGGUGUAGCGGUGAAAUGCGCAGAUAUCGGGAGGAACACCGGUGGCGAAGGCGACUACCUGGCCUGUUCUUGACGCUGAGGCGCGAAAGCUAGGGGAGCAAACGGG